Molecule: unclassified non-coding RNA, 255 nt
Filed under: plant metagenome
Description: partial contains small subunit ribosomal RNA, internal transcribed spacer 1, and 5.8S ribosomal RNA
Source: RNAcentral
UCUCCGUAGGUGAACCUGCGGAGGGAUCAUUCACAUGAUUUACUUUAUAAACAAACUGUGAACUUUAUUAUCAUACUAUUCUUGUAGGGAUUAUUUUAUGAUCUUUUACAACGUCAUUCGAUGAACAUUAGAUAGUUGGCUUGUUUUUUUUAAUAAAAAACUUUCUCAGCUGAUUUGUUUGUUAGACUAAACAUCUAUUCAAUCAAUCAACCAAAAACAUAGAAACAACUCUAUGCCCUGGAUAUCUUGGUUCUC